AUUGAACGCUGGCGGAAUGCUUUACACAUGCAAGUCGAACGGUAGAGGGGGCAACCCCUCGAGAGUGGCGAACGGGUGAGUAAUAUAUCGGAACGUGCCCAGUCGUGGGGGAUAACGUAGCGAAAGUCACGCUAAUACCGCAUACGAUCUAAGGAUGAAAGCGGGGGAUCGCAAGACCUCGCGCGAUUGGAGCGGCCGAUAUCAGAUUAGGUAGUUGGUGGGGUAAAGGCUCACCAAGCCAACGAUCUGUAGCUGGUCUGAGAGGACGACCAGCCACACUGGAACUGAGACACGGUCCAGACUCCUACGGGAGGCAGCAGUGGGGAAUUUUGGACAAUGGACGCAAGUUUGAUCCAGCCAUUCCGCGUGCAGGAUGAAGGCCCUCGGGUUGUAAACUGCUUUUGUACGGAACGAAAAGGUCUCUCUUAAUACGGGGGACUCAUGACGGUACCGUAAGAAUAAGCACCGGCUAACUACGUGCCAGCAGCCGCCGUAA
Molecule: ribosomal RNA, 496 nt
Filed under: uncultured bacterium
Lineage: Bacteria
Description: partial 16S ribosomal RNA
Rfam family: Bacterial small subunit ribosomal RNA
Source: RNAcentral